GUCGCAGGACCAGCCAAACUAUGAAAAAAAGUGCGACUUAUAGUCCGGAAAAUAUGGUAAUAAUCUCCUAGUAUCCCUACCACCAACCCAAACAACCCCUAUCAACACAACAACAACUGCCUGGCCAACAAAUUAUACACUACCAUCAUUCAGCACAGAGGUCAGGGAAGCCCUAUUAAAAAAAGACCCAGCGUUUUAUAAGAAGGACAAGUCACACAUCCGGACUGAUCAGCCUUCUUUUUGAUGACAUGACCCGGUAUGCCUGGUAUCCAAACCAUAAAAUGUACAGUGAUGUCCUGGGAACACUAAUAACCUGGCAUCAAUUUCUUAUGGAUGGAAGCCUCUCUGGGCAUGCUGAAUAAUGCUGCUGUGUUGCUGCUGCCUACAUUGUUGAAAGAAACUCCCAAACUUUUGUACUGUAUCAAUGAG
Molecule: long non-coding RNA, 429 nt
Organism: Alosa sapidissima (American shad)
Lineage: Eukaryota; Metazoa; Chordata; Actinopteri; Clupeiformes; Clupeidae
Exons: 3
Source: RefSeq, a predicted model, not a curated record